This 1397-nucleotide ribosomal RNA is filed under the name uncultured archaeon. RNAcentral's name for it is "bacterial SSU rRNA". It matches the Rfam family "Archaeal small subunit ribosomal RNA". The record is from RNAcentral.
CACUGCUAUUGGAGUUCGAUUAAGCCAUGCGAGUCGAGAGGGUUAGACCCUCGGCGGACGGCUCAGUAACACGUGGGUAAUCUACCCUCAGGACAGGAAUAACCCCGGGAAACUGGGGAUAAUACCUGAUAUGUGGAGAGGUCUGGAAUGAUUCUUCACUUAAAGCUCCGGUGCCUGAGGAUGAGCCUGCGCCUGAUUAGGUUGUUGGCGGUGUAAUGGACCACCAAGCCGAAGAUCAGUACGGGCAGUGAGAGCUGUAGCCCGGAGAUGGGGGCUGAGACACGGCCCCAGGCCCUACGGGGCGCAGCAGGCGCGAAAACUCCGCAAUGUUCGAAAGAACGACGGGGGAACUCCAAGUGCACUUACGCAAGUAAGUGGUUUUUAGUAGUGUAAAUAGCUGUUAGAAUAAGAGCUGGGUAAGACCGGUGCCAGCCGCCGCGGUAACACCGGCAGCUCGAGUGGUGACCGCUUUUAUUGGGCCUAAAGCGUUCGUAGCCGGUCCAGUAAGUCUUUGGGCAAAUCUUCUCGCUCAACGAAAAGAAUUCCGAAGAUACUGCUGGACUUGGGGCCGAGAGAGGUUAGAGGUACUCCUGGGGGUAGGGGUGAAAUCCUAUAAUCCUGGGGGGACCGCCAGUGGCGAAGGCGUCUAACCAGAGCGGACCCGACGGUGAGGGACGAAAGCCAGGGGCGCGAACGGGAUUAGAUACCCCGGUAGUCCUGGCUGUAAACGCUGCAUGCUAGGUGUUGCAUGCUCUACGGGGGCAUGCAGUGCCGAAGAGAAGUUGAUAAGCGUGCCGCCUGGGAAGUAUUAUCGCAAGGUAGAAACUUAAAGGAAUUGGCGGGGGAGCACCACAAGGGGUGGAGUCUGCGGUUUAAUUGGAUUCAACGCCGGAAAUCUCACCGGAGGCGACGGCAGGAUGAUAGCCAGGUUGAAGAUCUUGCUUGACGAGCCGAGAGGAGGUGCAUGGCCGUCGUCAGCUCGUACCGUGAGGCGUCCUGUUAAGUCAGGCAACGAGCGAGACCCGUGCCCUUAUUUGUCAGCAGAUGCCAUCGGCAUGCUGGACACAUUAAGGGGACCGCUACUGAUAAAGUAGAGGAAGGAGCGGGCGACGGUAGGUCAGUAUGCCCCGAAUCUUCCGGGCUACACGCGGACUACAAUGACCAGUACAAAGGGCUUCGACUUCGAAAGGAGAAGGAAAUCCCUAAAACUGGCCCAAGUUCAGAUCGUGGGCUGCAACUUGCCCACGUGAAGCCGGAAUCCCUAGUAAUCGCGUGUCAUUAUCGCGCGGUGAAUAUGUCCCUGCUCCUUGCACACACCGCCCGUCAAACCACCCGAGUGAGGUCGAGGCGAGGCUAUGUCGUCUGGCAUGGUCGAGUCUGGAUUUCGCAAGGGGGGU